CACCUUAGACACCAGGUGAGCUUGCGGGAUGACCUCCUUCAGCUCUACUCAGACUCUGAUGAAGAGGAGGAACAGCAGUGUGGUCAUCCCUGUGAAGCCCCUGAGCUAUGGCUCUGACAGAGUCACAGCCGCUGCACCACGGUCCUCAGCUAGAAGCCCUGCAGGCGCAGCUGAGGCUGCUGGAGGAGGAGCACCAGCAGCUGAGAGAGGAGGCCUCGCAGCUUGAUGCCCUUGAGGAGGAGGAGCAGAUGCUCAUUCUGGAAUGUGUGGAGCAGUUUUGUAUGUGAAGUUGUAAUUGGAAGGGGUUUGUCCCAAGGAGCAGAGGGAAGAACUCAGAACUCUGGGUCUGGAAACCCGAGUUCAAGUCCCAGCUCUGGCACGUCCUAGCUGUGUGAGUUUAGACAAGUUCCUUGACCUCUCUGAACCUUCAUCUUUAAAAUGGGGAUUACUAAUCUCAGCCCUGCUGACCUCUGCAGGGGUUACAGCUGAGGAAAUGUUUUAUAUAAACUGUAAAGAGCUAUACAGAGGCUGUGGGUCUCCUCUAAGCCAGUCUCCCUUUGUUAUUUGGGGCAAGGAGAGGGAGGGAGCUGUGAGCUUCCACAGACCAGGCACCCCAAGGCACUGGGGUUGGGGUAAUUCAGAGUUGCUCAUUAAGCAAUGGCUUUGCCUGGCAUUGUGCGUUUAUGAAGAUGAGUGAGGCACAGGGUUUGUCCCUGAGGAGCUCAAGUCUGGCUGGUGAGAUACAGGCUCAAGGUGGCAACAGCUGUUCCCUUCAUCCCAAACCUGACCUUUCUUCCCCAUGGGUUCCCUAGCUCCCUGAAUGGCUCCAAUGGUCCCCAGACCUCUGAGGAAGGAGCCAGUCCUCAUAUUCUGUUGCUUCUCCCUCCUGGGAAAGGUUCAAGUCUCUUUUCUCCUUCCUAGCCCAGCUGCCUCUUAGCUGGUUUCCCUGUCUCCACUCCUGCCCUUCCAGGCCCACAGCCCAAAAUGAGUUUUCUAAAACCAGAUCUGACUAUGUCACUCUUCUGCCUAAAACUCCCAGAUACCUUCCAAUUGGCCAAAGGAUAAAGCCCAACCUCCCUAUCCAGGCUUUGUGAUUGGAGCCCUGCCCACGGCCCCAGCCACUCCUCCCCAUAUGUCCUUUGAUGGCCUCUGGGCCCUGCUUGGGCCAUGUCUUCUCUUAUGCCUGGCUGAGCCCCAUUUGCCUCGUGGACGUCUUUGCUUUACAGACUUUGCAUGACUGAGCUGGGUUGCCACCUCUGUGACCCCCAAUCCGUCCUUGACACUUGCUCCAUCACAGCCUGUAGUAUGCACCAUUGUGAUUUCUUUUUCCAUCAGUCUCCCUGCUCCACUUGAGCUCAGAGUAGGCUGGGACCAGGUCUUGCUGGCUGCUUACCCAAUGCCUUGCUCUGUGUCAAGUCAAUAAAGAUUUAUUGGAAAGAAGACCUGAGUUAGGAAUGCUCUCCCAGUGGAUCCUGGGUACUCCGUAGGAGCUGAGGGUGGGGGUGGACAGAGGC
Hipposideros armiger (great roundleaf bat) is the source of this 1514-nucleotide long non-coding RNA. RefSeq lists it as uncharacterized. The transcript is spliced from 3 exons. Lineage: Eukaryota; Metazoa; Chordata; Mammalia; Chiroptera; Hipposideridae. The record is from RefSeq and is a predicted model, not a curated record.